This 233-nucleotide ribosomal RNA is filed under the name uncultured bacterium. Its description in RNAcentral is "partial 16S ribosomal RNA". It matches the Rfam family "Bacterial small subunit ribosomal RNA", at positions 122 to 354 of the family's 1533-position model. The record is from RNAcentral.
CAAUCUGCCUUGGAGUGGGGAAUAACGGCUGGAAACAGCCGCUAAUACCGCAUGAUACAGCUGGGAGGCGUCUCCCUGGCUGUCAAAGAUUUAUCGCUCUGAGAUGAGCUCGCGUCUGAUUAGCUAGUUGGCGGGGUAACGGCCCACCAAGGCGACGAUCAGUAGCCGGACUGAGAGGUUGGCCGGCCACAUUGGGACUGAGACACGGCCCAGACUCCUACGGAAGGCAGCAG